GAUGAACGCUGGCGGCGUGCCUAAUACAUGCAAGUCGAGCGAACAGACGAGGAGCUUUCUCCUCUGACGUUAGCGGCGGACGGGUGAGUAACACGUGGAUAACCUACCUAUAAGACUGGGAUAACUUCGGGAAACCGGGUCUAAGACCGGAUAAUAUAUUGAACCGCAUGGUUCAAUAGUGAAAGACGGUUUUGCUUUCACUUAUAGACUGAUCCGCCCCGCAUUAGUUAGUUGGUAAGGUAACGGCUUACCAAGGCAACGAUGCGUAGCCGCCCUGAGAGGGUCAUCGGCCACACUGGAACUGAGACACGGUCCCGACUCCUACGGGGGGCAGCAGUAGGGACUCUUACGCAAUGGGCGAAAGCCUGACAGAGCAACACCGCGUGAGUGAUGAAGGUCUUCUGAUCGUAAAACUCUGUUAUUCGGGAAGAACAAAUGUGUAAGUACCUAUGCACGUCUUGACGGUACCUAAUCAGAAAGCCACGGCUAACUCCGUG
Molecule: ribosomal RNA, 497 nt
Filed under: uncultured bacterium
Lineage: Bacteria
Description: partial 16S ribosomal RNA
Rfam family: Bacterial small subunit ribosomal RNA
Source: RNAcentral